RNAcentral lists this ribosomal RNA (484 nucleotides) under uncultured bacterium. RNAcentral's name for it is "partial 16S ribosomal RNA". It matches the Rfam family "Bacterial small subunit ribosomal RNA", at positions 30 to 507 of the family's 1533-position model. The record is from RNAcentral.
AUUGAACGCUGGCGGCAGGCCUAACACAUGCAAGUCGAGCGGAUGAAGGGAGCUUGCUCCUGGAUUCAGCGGCGGACGGGUGAGUAAUGCCUAGGAAUCUGCCUGGUAGUGGGGGAUAACGUCCGGAAACGGGCGCUAAUACCGCAUACGUCCUGAGGGAGAAAGUGGGGGAUCUUCGGACCUCACGCUAUCAGAUGAGCCUAGGUCGGAUUAGCUAGUUGGUGGGGUAAAGGCCUACCAAGGCGACGAUCCGUAACUGGUCUGAGGGGAUGAUCAGUCACACUGGAACUGAGACACGGUCCAGACUCCUACGGGAGGCAGCAGUGGGGAAUAUUGGACAAUGGGCGAAAGCCUGAUCCAGCCAUGCCGCGUGUGUGAAGAAGGUCUUCGGAUUGUAAAGCACUUUAAGUUGGGAGGAAGGGCAGUAAGUUAACACCUUGCUGUUUUGACGUUACCAACAGAAUAAGCACCGGCUAACUUCGUG